This 343-nucleotide unclassified non-coding RNA is filed under the name soil metagenome. Its description in RNAcentral is "partial contains 5.8S ribosomal RNA, internal transcribed spacer 2, and large subunit ribosomal RNA". The stretch from base 1 to 120 matches the Rfam family "5.8S ribosomal RNA", at positions 35 to 154 of the family's 154-position model. The record is from RNAcentral.
GAUGAAGAACGCAGCGAAAUGCGAUAAGUAAUGUGAAUUGCAGAUUUCAGUGAAUCAUCGAAUCUUUGAACGCACAUUGCGCCCGCUAGUAUUCUGGCGGGCAUGCCUGUCCGAGCGUCAUUUCAACCCUCAAGCCCCCGGGCUUGGUGUUGGGGAUCGGCGAGCCUCCGCGCCCGCCGUCCCCUAAAUCUAGUGGCGGUCUCGCUGUAGCUUCCUCUGCGUAGUAGCACACCUCGCACUGGGAAACAGCGCGGCCACGCCGUUAAACCCCCAACUUCUGAACGUUUGACCUCGGAUCAGGUAGGAAUACCCGCUGAACUUAAGCAUAUCAAUAAGCGGAGGA